ACCCAGGAGGAGGAAGUAUUUGAAUCAUGGAGGCUGUUCUUUUCCGUGCUAUUCUUGUGAUAGUGAGUAAGCCUGGUGAGAUCUGAUAGUUUAUCAGGGGC
Sapajus apella (tufted capuchin) is the source of this 101-nucleotide long non-coding RNA. RefSeq lists it as uncharacterized. The record is from RefSeq and is a predicted model, not a curated record. NCBI's taxonomy places the organism in Eukaryota, Metazoa, Chordata, Mammalia, Primates, Cebidae. The transcript has 3 exons.